Molecule: long non-coding RNA, 310 nt
Organism: Brassica napus (rape)
Lineage: Eukaryota; Viridiplantae; Streptophyta; Magnoliopsida; Brassicales; Brassicaceae
Exons: 2
Source: RefSeq, a predicted model, not a curated record
AUAGUGAGCUCUUGUCUUUGUAAGAGUCUCAUUUUCAUUGAAUUAUUAAUAAAUAAGCUUUUGCAUUCUUAAACUCUACUGUAACUUGCACACUCAAGGCUGCAAAAAUGGAUCGAUAUUGGUUAGAAUAUGUAUACAUGACAAUGUUCUUUUGUUUCCCAUUUUCUGUAUGUAAAAAAUGACAUGAGCAACCCACUAAAAGCAAAGGAGACAUUGGGAGGUGUAAACUCUACCAUCAGAGAUUGAUUAGGUAGGGUUCAUUCUACGUUCGAUGAAGGUAAAUAUAAUUAAGAAAAAGAGAUUCAAAAGA